UACGAAGGGGGCUAGCGUUGCUCGGAAUCACUGGGCGUAAAGCGCACGUAGGCGGACUCUUAAGUCAGGGGUGAAAUCCUGGAGCUCAACUCCAGAACUGCCUUUGAUACUGAGAGCCUUGAGUUCGGGAGAGGUGAGUGGAACUGCGAGUGUAGAGGUGAAAUUCGUAGAUAUUCGCAAGAACACCAGUGGCGAAGGCGGCUUCCUGGACCAAUACUGACGCUGAGGUGCGAAAGCGUGGGGAGCAAACAGG
RNAcentral lists this ribosomal RNA (253 nucleotides) under uncultured bacterium. RNAcentral's name for it is "partial 16S ribosomal RNA". It matches the Rfam family "Bacterial small subunit ribosomal RNA", at positions 524 to 776 of the family's 1533-position model. The record is from RNAcentral.